GAUGAACGCUGGCGGCGUGCCUAAUACAUGCAAGUCGAGCGAACAGACGAGGAGCUUGCUCCUCUGACGUUAGCGGCGGACGGGUGAGUAACACGUGGAUAACCUACCUAUAAGACUGGGAUAACUUCGGGAAACCGGAGCUAAUACCGGAUAAUAUAUUGAACCGCAUGGUUCAAUAGUGAAAGACGGUUUUGCUGUCACUUAUAGAUGGAUCCGCGCCGCAUUAGCUAGUUGGUAAGGUAACGGCUUACCAAGGCAACGAUGCGUAGCCGACCUGAGAGGGUGAUCGGCCACACUGGAACCGAGACACGAUCCAGACUCCUACGGGAGGCAGCAGUAGGGAAUCUUCCGCAAUGGGCGAAAGCCUGACGGAGCAACGCCGCGUGAGUGAUGAAGGUCUUCGGAUCGUAAAACUCUGUUAUUAGGGAAGAACAAAUGUGUAAGUAACUAUGCACGUCUUGACGGUACCUAAUCAGAAAGCCACGGCUAACUACGUG
RNAcentral lists this ribosomal RNA (497 nucleotides) under uncultured bacterium. Its description in RNAcentral is "partial 16S ribosomal RNA". It matches the Rfam family "Bacterial small subunit ribosomal RNA", at positions 28 to 507 of the family's 1533-position model. The record is from RNAcentral.